Chelonia mydas (Green sea turtle) is the source of this 495-nucleotide long non-coding RNA. RefSeq lists it as uncharacterized. NCBI's taxonomy places the organism in Eukaryota, Metazoa, Chordata, Testudines, Cheloniidae. The record is from RefSeq and is a predicted model, not a curated record. The transcript has 2 exons.
GCUCUGACACUUUUCCCUAAAAUAUUUAAUGAACUUUAGGGGAAGCCAGUAAACAUGCACGGAGCACGUCAUUUUUCAGUGAGCCAAGGAGGCAAGACAGACCAGACUCCUGAAAGAGGUGCCGUGGUGGGGAAAGGCUGAGAGCCACUGGAAUAUAGGACCAAGAGAAAGAGCACACUGGAGAACAGACCAUGGUGGGGGGACCACGUCAGCGGUUUACUGGACUAUAACUGGGGGACAAGAACAGCACCCUGCAGUCCUUCAGGAAGCCAAAAGGAGAGCAUGCUUUGCAUUCAUGAAAAGGGGGUUUCAUCAGUGGUGGCUGGUGGCCCUGGGAGAAUGCUUUAGCCAUGGAUUUUACCUGUUAAAGUUAAACUUGGCCUAUCUGAAUCCUGUUAUACCUGAUGAUUGGUGUGUAACCUGUUGGUCUUAUUGCUUCGCUCACUAUCUCUUCAAUCUUAACGAAUAAACUCCUGUUUGUUUUCACUAAAAAUA